GAUGAACGCUAGCGAAGUGCCUAAUACAUGCAAGUCAGACCCGAUUUUCGGAUUGGGUGGCAGACGGGCGAGUAACACGUGCUUAACAUGCCCUGNGAGAGUGGGACAACAUCGGAAACGGUGAUAAUCCCGCAUACGCUCGGAAAGCUGAGAUGCUGAAGAGGAAAGAGCAAUCGCUCUAGGAGUGGGGCGCGGGCCACCAGCUAGUUGGUGAGGUAAAGGCUCACCAAGGCGAUGACGGCUAGCCGGCUUGAGAGGGUGACCGGCCGCAAUGGGACUGAGACACGGCCCAUACCUCUACGGAGGGCAGCAGUAGGGAAUAUUGCACAAUGGGGGGAACCCUGAUGCAGCGACUUCGCGUGAAGGAAGAAGCCUUAAGGGGUGUAAACUUCUUUUCUGGGGGAAGACGAAUGACGGUACCUCAGGAAUAAGGGACGGCUAACUACGUGCCAGCAGCCGCGGUAAUACGUAGGUCUCGAGCGUUAUUCGGAGUUACUGGGCGUAAAGAGUCCGUAGCUGGCUGUAUAAGUCUACUUUCAAAGACCGGUGCUCAACAUCGGGAAGGGAGUAGAAACUGUAUAGCUAGAGACAAGAGGGGGCAAGUGGAAUUUCCGGAGUAGGGGUGAAAUCCGUUGAUAUCGGAAGGAAUGCCAAAAGCGAAAGCAGCUUGCUAUACUUGAUCUGACAGUAAAGGACGAAAGUGUGGGUAGCAAACAGGAUUAGAUACCCUGGUAGUCCACACCGUAAACGAUGCACGCUAGGUGUACCGGUGUAAACUGGGGUGCUGAAACCAAACGGGUUAAGCGUGCCGACUGGGGAGUAUAGUCGCAAGACCGAAACUCAAAGGGAUAAGCGGUGGAACACACAAGCGGGGGAUUUCCUCGAUUAAUUGGAUAAUAAUCCAAGAAUCUUACCUAGGCUUGACAUCUCCAGAACACCUGGGAAACUAACUGGUGCCCAGUUCGCUGGGAAUUGGAAGACAGAUGCUGCAUGUCAGUCGUCAGCUCGUACCGCAAGGUGUCCGGUUAAGUCCGGGAACGAGCGCAACCCUUGUAUUUAGUUAGGAUGUCUAAAUAGACUGCCUAUGCAAAUAGGAGGAAGGAGGGGACGACAUAAGGUCAAUUAUGGCCGUUAUGUAUAGGGCGUCAGAGGCAAUACAAUGGGUAGUACAAAGGGAAGCGAAGCCGUGAGGUGGAGCAAAGCCAAAAAGCUAUCCGAAGUGCGGAUUGUAGUCUGGAACUCGACUACAUGAAGUUGGAAUCGCUAGUAAUGGUGAAUCAGCCAUGUCACCGUGAAUAAGUCCCUGUUCCUUGCACUCACCGCCCGUCACACCAUGGGAGUUGG
Molecule: ribosomal RNA, 1344 nt
Filed under: uncultured organism
Description: bacterial SSU rRNA
Rfam family: Bacterial small subunit ribosomal RNA
Source: RNAcentral